AGCUAAUAGAAAGAAGAUUGAAGCCCGUUUAACUGGCGGGGGCCCAUCACCACCUCCCCUCACCCCAUCUGAGGAGCUGGCUCUGUCCCUUAAUAAAGGGCGACCAGUGGUUGCUGGCAUUCCAGGGGACAGUUCAUCACACACAGCAUGCACCACAAGUGAUGGUGAAAAAAUGGUGCAAUACACUGAUGGUCGGAUUGUAUUAUUGGACUCUCCAGAAAGAACACAGUCUGUCACAGUUGAUGAAGAUGACGAUGAAGAGACCACAUCUGCUGUGACAGAAGUGGACAAUGCUGGUAGAUCCACUGAGUACAUACCUAGGGGUUUGCCCACAGAUGAGGGUCCUUCAACCUCAGCACACAAUCUAAGCAGGGU
Puntigrus tetrazona (Sumatra barb) is the source of this 375-nucleotide long non-coding RNA. RefSeq lists it as uncharacterized. The transcript is spliced from 4 exons. The record is from RefSeq and is a predicted model, not a curated record. Lineage: Eukaryota; Metazoa; Chordata; Actinopteri; Cypriniformes; Cyprinidae.